GCGAGGGUAGCCAAGCCAGGCCAACGGCGCUGGACUUAAGAUCCAGUCCCGAAGGGGUCCGUGGGUUCGAAUCCCACCCCUCGCA
This 85-nucleotide transfer RNA is filed under the name Methanofollis liminatans. Its description in RNAcentral is "tRNA-Leu". It matches the Rfam family "tRNA". Rfam says of the family: Transfer RNA (tRNA) molecules are approximately 80 nucleotides in length. Their secondary structure includes four short double-helical elements and three loops (D, anti-codon, and T loops). Further hydrogen bonds mediate the characteristic L-shaped molecular structure. tRNAs have two regions of fundamental functional importance: the anti-codon, which is responsible for specific mRNA codon recognition, and the 3' end, to which the tRNAs corresponding amino acid is attached (by aminoacyl-tRNA synthetases). tRNAs cope with the degeneracy of the genetic code in two manners: having more than one tRNA (with a specific anti-codon) for a particular amino acid; and 'wobble' base-pairing, i.e. permitting non-standard base-pairing at the 3rd anti-codon position. Lineage: Archaea; Methanobacteriati; Methanobacteriota; Methanomicrobia; Methanomicrobiales; Methanomicrobiaceae. RNAcentral also lists the same sequence under 2 other names. The record is from RNAcentral.